This 259-nucleotide ribosomal RNA is filed under the name uncultured bacterium. Its description in RNAcentral is "partial 16S ribosomal RNA". It matches the Rfam family "Bacterial small subunit ribosomal RNA", at positions 795 to 1052 of the family's 1533-position model. The record is from RNAcentral.
CCACCCCGUAAACGUUGGGAACUAGUUGUGGGGUCCAUUCCACGGAUUCCGUGACGCAGCUAACGCAUUAAGUUCCCCGCCUGGGGAGUACGGCCGCAAGGCUAAAACUCAAAGGAAUUGACGGGGACCCGCACAAGCGGCGGAGCAUGCGGAUUAAUUCGAUGCAACGCGAAGAACCUUACCAAGGCUUGACAUAUACGAGAACGGGCCAGAAAUGGUCAACUCUUUGGACACUCGUAAACAGGUGGUGCAUGGUUGU